Helianthus annuus (common sunflower) is the source of this 743-nucleotide long non-coding RNA. RefSeq lists it as uncharacterized. The transcript is spliced from 4 exons. NCBI's taxonomy places the organism in Eukaryota, Viridiplantae, Streptophyta, Magnoliopsida, Asterales, Asteraceae. The record is from RefSeq and is a predicted model, not a curated record.
AUCAAAACUACAAGGGUUGAACUUGUACAUUUUAAUUAAAGUUUGGUUAAGUAGUGGAAGAUCACAAACAUCAGACAUAAGUCUGAUGUUGGUGUCGAUGCAAGCCAAGGGCCAAGAAGGGUUUCUCAUGAUGAUGAAAUGUUGAAGAAUUGAAGCAAAAUCCAGCCUUAAUUCUCUUGCAUGUGUAGAGAUUCUACAUCAAAAAGCUAUAUGAAACAUGUGGAAUGUGUCAAGGAGAGCUCAAGCAUAGGAGGAUAACGGGUCAAGAUAAGGCAAGGUGACAAAUACACUUAUUGGAGUACUCAAGUGCAGGUUAUGAAUGUCGGACUUUCGAAGUGUUGAUAUAAUAACGAAACGGUUGAAUGUUGAAAGGAUAAUCGGAUUAAAGUAACUUAUGCGGUUAGAAUAUGCUAUGGACGUUUUAGUUUAUACAACAUUUUAUGUUUGGUCGUCAUCAUCUACCAACGGGUAAAUCCUCAAUUCAGGCGACUUGGAGAAUCGGAGCGAGCGCGUGUUCAUGUUAUGUCAUACCAAACGCUUCCGCUAGCUUGUUCAAAUGUUUUUGAUCCAAAAUUUGUUGUAUUGGUUUUUAGUAGUAUCUUGUUGAACGAAUUGUAGAAUUGUAUCUAGUUUGUUUAUGUUUAAAACAGGGGUAUGCUCGUUUUAUGGACGGGUCAUGCCCGAUUUUUGUUAAAUUAUAGUAUGAUAAUAUCACAUUUAGGAAGAUGAAAUUUUGGGCGUAA